UUUCCUACGGGGCGCAGCAGUGGGGAAUAUUGCACAAUGGGGGAAACCCUGAUGCAGCGACGCCGCGUGAAGGAAGAAGUAUUUCGGUAUGUAAACUUCUAUCAGCAGGGAAGAAAAUGACGGUACCUGACUAAGAAGCCCCGGCUAACUACGUGCCAGCAGCCGCGGUAAUACGUAGGGGGCAAGCGUUAUCCGGAUUUACUGGGUGUAAAGGGAGCGUAGGCGGUUCAGCAAGUCAGAAGUGAAAGCCCGGGGCUCAACUCCGGGACUGCUUUUGAAAUUGUUGAACUAGAUUGCAGGAGAGG
This 305-nucleotide ribosomal RNA is filed under the name uncultured bacterium. RNAcentral describes it as "bacterial SSU rRNA". It matches the Rfam family "Bacterial small subunit ribosomal RNA", at positions 335 to 657 of the family's 1533-position model. The record is from RNAcentral.